This 733-nucleotide long non-coding RNA is filed under the name Homo sapiens (human). RNAcentral describes it as "non-protein coding lnc-COPG1-2:1". Lineage: Eukaryota; Metazoa; Chordata; Mammalia; Primates; Hominidae. The record is from RNAcentral.
AAUUCUGUUGUGUGCACAUCACAGAGUACACUUACACAAACCUAGAUGGAAGAGCCUACUGCACACCUAGGCUGAAUGGGACCAGCCUGGCCAACAUGUUGAAACCUCAACUCUACUAAAAAUACAAAAAUUAGCCAGGCUUGGUGGCAUGUGCCUGUAAUCUCAGCUACUUGGGAGGCUGAGGCAGGAGAAUCACUUGAACCUGGGUGGUGGAGGUUGCAGUGAGCCGAGAUCACCCCACUGCACUCCAGCCUGGGCGACAGAGCAAGACUGACUCAAUUUAAAAAAAAAAAGAUAAAAAUGGUGCAUCUCUAUAGGGCGUUUACCAUGCCUGGAGCUUGUGGGACUGGAAGUUGCUCUGGAAUCACUUCCUGGCUGGGAAUUGAACCCAGACUGCUGCAGUGAAAGAGCAUAAUGUUAGCUACUGGCCCACAGCAUGAGACUCCCGGUCCUGUUUGUUGCUCAUCCCCAGAUACGCAGCCUGGUCUACAGGAAGAAUUCUAUGUAUAUUUGCUGAAGAGACAAAGAAGGAUGUGGAUGAAUUGGAUGUGGAGAAUGAGAGGAAAGAAAAUGUCAAGGAUGGCUCUAAUUUCUGGCUUAUGCAACUGAGUGGUGCCAUUGAGAGAGCAGACUCUCUCUCUUGCCUUCUUGGUUGGCACACUGGGGAGAAGCGAGCUGCAGCGUUGGAGAGGCCCAUGUGGCAAGGGACUGAGAGCAGCCUCUGGCCAACAGC